RNAcentral lists this ribosomal RNA (446 nucleotides) under uncultured bacterium. RNAcentral describes it as "partial 16S ribosomal RNA". It matches the Rfam family "Bacterial small subunit ribosomal RNA", at positions 338 to 795 of the family's 1533-position model. The record is from RNAcentral.
CCUACGGGUGGCAGCAGUCGAGAAUCAUUCACAAUGGGGGAAACUCUGAUGGUGCGACGCCGCGUGGGGGAAUGAAGGUCUUCGGAUUGUAAACCCCUGUCAUGUGGGAGCAAAUUAAAAAGAUAGUACCACAAGAGGAAGAGACGGCUAACUCUGUGCCAGCAGCCGCGGUAAUACAGAGGUCUCAAGCGUUGUUCGGAAUCACUGGGCGUAAAGCGUUCGUAGGCUGUUUCGUAAGUCGUGUGUGAAAGGCGCGGGCUCAACCAGCGGACGGCACAUGAUACUGGGAGACUAGAGUAAUGGAGGGGGAACCGGAAUUCUCGGUGUAGCAGUGAAAUGCGUAGAUAGCGAGAGGAACACUCGUGGCGAAGGCGGGUUCCGGGACAUUAACUGACGCUGAGGCACGAAGGCCAGGGGAGCGAAAGGGAUUAGAUACCCCUGUAGUC